Molecule: ribosomal RNA, 359 nt
Filed under: uncultured bacterium
Lineage: Bacteria
Description: bacterial SSU rRNA
Rfam family: Bacterial small subunit ribosomal RNA
Source: RNAcentral
AACGAACGCUGGCGGCAGGCCUAACACAUGCAAGUCGAACGCUCCGCAAGGGAGUGGCGCACGGGUGAGUAACACGUGGGAACCUACCUUCUGGUACGGAACAACCAAGGGAAACUUUGGCUAAAACCGUAAUACGACCUCCGGGUGAAAGAUUGAUCGCCGGAAGAGGGGCCCGCGUCCGAUUAGGUAGUUGUGAGUAACGGCUCACCAAGCCUACGAUCGGUAGCUGGUCUGAGAGGAUGACCAGCCACACUGGGACUGAGACACGGCCCAGACUCCUACGGGAGGCAGCAGUGGGGAAUAUUGGACAAUGGGCGCAAGCCUGAUCCAGCCAUGCCGCGUGAGUGAUGAAGGCCUUC